This 420-nucleotide ribosomal RNA is filed under the name uncultured bacterium. RNAcentral describes it as "bacterial SSU rRNA". It matches the Rfam family "Bacterial small subunit ribosomal RNA", at positions 343 to 760 of the family's 1533-position model. The record is from RNAcentral.
GGGAGGCAGCAGUGAGGAAUAUUGGUCAAUGGGCGAGAGCCUGAACCAGCCAAGUCGCGUGAAGGAAGAAGGAUCUAUGGUUCGUAAACUUCUUUUGCAGGGGAAUAAAAUGCAGGACGUGUCCUGUUUUGUAUGUACCCUGAGAAUAAGGAUCGGCUAACUCCGUGCCAGCAGCCGCGGUAAUACGGAGGAUCCGAGCGUUAUCCGGAUUUAUUGGGUUUAAAGGGUGCGUAGGUGGUUUGAUAAGUCAGCGGUGAAAGUUUGCAGCUUAACUGUAAAAAUGCCGUUGAAACUGUCGGACUUGAGUGUAAAUGAGGUAGGCGGAAUGCGUGGUGUAGCGGUGAAAUGCAUAGAUAUCACGCAGAACUCCGAUUGCGAAGGCAGCUUACUAAGCUACAACUGACACUGAAGCACGAAAGC